Molecule: ribosomal RNA, 96 nt
Filed under: Paenisporosarcina quisquiliarum
Lineage: Bacteria; Bacillati; Bacillota; Bacilli; Caryophanales; Caryophanaceae
Description: partial 23S ribosomal RNA
Rfam family: Bacterial large subunit ribosomal RNA
Source: RNAcentral
GGUUAAGUUAAUAAGGGCGCACGGUGAAUGCCUUGGCACUAGGAGCCGAUGAAGGACGGUACUAACACCGAUAUGCUUCGGGGAGCUGUAAGUAAG